AUUUAAAAGUUAUCGAGUAUUACGGUCUCUGAUAUCUAUAUAUACAUUUUUGCAGCCAUUUUGUGAAAUAAAUCCUGUAGUUAAGACUUAUUUACAAUGGCUGCUACUGGAUUUUAAUGUUUGUUUUUGAUAAUUAGAAAAAAAUCUUCGAAUUAAAUAUUUGAUAUUUAACAAUCUUCCCUAAAUCUCUUCACAUUAACUACACGAUUAGUUACUAAAAUAAAACUUCCAAAAUAUUUAAUAUCAUUUAAUUACUACAAAAUUAUCAUUUUUGAUAUUGCUUUUCUCCAUGACUAUAACAAUUCGAUUAUAAUCAUCAAACCGCAGAGAUAUUUGUAUCAAACCGCAGAGAUAUUUGAUAGCAUUUAAUUAUUACAAAAUUACAAAAUAUUUAGACAAUAAUUCAUAAACAUAUCAUAAAUAAGAUCAACAUUAAUAAAAUAAAUAGUUUUAUUACGGUACGGGUUGGCGGGACGGGUUUGGCAGGACGUUACUUAAUAACAAUUGUAAACUAUGAAAUAAAAUAUUUUAUAGAUAGAUACAAUUUGCAAACUUUUAUGUAUACUAACUUUACAAACUAAAUUGUUCCCGCGGUGUACCGCGGGUUAAAAUCUAGUUCAUAUAUAUACUUUGAACAAAAUUAAACUAGUCUGAUAUUCAUACUCUUUGAACAACUUAGUUUAAAUCUAACUAUCUAAGUAUUCCUCGUAUUUUGGCCGAAAUCACCGAAUCUCUAGAGUCUAGACCUUUUAAGUCAAAAUGAUUAUU
Molecule: small RNA, 768 nt
Filed under: Arabidopsis thaliana (thale cress)
Lineage: Eukaryota; Viridiplantae; Streptophyta; Magnoliopsida; Brassicales; Brassicaceae
Description: ATSL181700
Source: RNAcentral